Molecule: small nucleolar RNA, 138 nt
Organism: Ornithorhynchus anatinus (platypus)
Lineage: Eukaryota; Metazoa; Chordata; Mammalia; Monotremata; Ornithorhynchidae
Source: RefSeq, a predicted model, not a curated record
CCCCUCUCAGAAUCGCAACUGAAGAGUUUUCAGUACUCUACUGGCCUUGGCUAUGGGAGGGAGAGUCAAGCAGAGGCAUACCCAUUCCAUUCCUAGCUCUGGCAGUGGCUAGCAAAUGGAAGGCAAUCUGCUAUAAGU